This 254-nucleotide ribosomal RNA is filed under the name uncultured bacterium. RNAcentral's name for it is "partial 16S ribosomal RNA". It matches the Rfam family "Bacterial small subunit ribosomal RNA", at positions 524 to 776 of the family's 1533-position model. The record is from RNAcentral.
UACGUAGGCAGCAAGCGUUGUUCGGAGUUACUGGGCGUAAAGGGUGUGUAGGCGGUUAUUUAAGUUUGGUGUGAAAUCUCCCGGCUCAACCGGGAGGGUGCGCCGAAUACUGAAUGACUUGGAGUGCGGGAGAGGAAAGUGGAAUUCCGGGUGUAGUGGUGAAAUGCGUAGAUAUCCGGAGGAACACCAGUGGCGAAGGCGGCUCUCUGGAUCGACCCUGACGCUGAGGCGCGAAAGCGUGGGGAGCGAACGGG